GGCUCUGUGGUGUACAACACGUUAGGUUGCAAACCUAAAGAAGUCGGCUCACGCCGGCCGGGGCUU
RNAcentral lists this transfer RNA (66 nucleotides) under Dallia pectoralis (Alaska blackfish). RNAcentral describes it as "tRNA-Cys". It matches the Rfam family "tRNA". From Rfam's summary of the family: Transfer RNA (tRNA) molecules are approximately 80 nucleotides in length. Their secondary structure includes four short double-helical elements and three loops (D, anti-codon, and T loops). Lineage: Eukaryota; Metazoa; Chordata; Actinopteri; Esociformes; Umbridae. The record is from RNAcentral.